Molecule: ribosomal RNA, 989 nt
Filed under: Bacteroidales bacterium
Lineage: Bacteria; Pseudomonadati; Bacteroidota; Bacteroidia; Bacteroidales
Description: bacterial SSU rRNA
Rfam family: Bacterial small subunit ribosomal RNA
Source: RNAcentral
UACAACGAAGAGUUUGAUCCUGGCUCAGGAUGAACGCUAGCGGCAGGCCUAACACAUGCAAGUCGAGGGGCAGCGGGUGUAGCAAUACAUGCCGGCGACCGGCGCACGGGUGAGUAACGCGUAUGUAACCUACCUUUUACUGGGGGAUAGCCCCGAGAAAUCGGGAUUAAUACCCCAUAUUAUUAUGAACGGGCAUCCGUUUAUAAUGAAAGCUCCGGCGGUAAAAGAUGGGCAUGCGUGCCAUUAGCUAGUUGGUGAGGUAACGGCUCACCAAGGCUACGAUGGCUAGGGGGUCUGAGAGGAUGAUCCCCCACACUGGUACUGAGACACGGACCAGACUCCUACGGGAGGCAGCAGUGAGGAAUAUUGGGCAAUAGGCGCAAGCCUGACCCAGCCAUGCCGCGUGCAGGAUGAAGGCCCUAUGGGUUGUAAACUGCUUUUGUACGGGACGAAACUCCCGAUCGUGAUCGGGACUGACGGUACUGUACGAAUAAGCAUCGGCUAACUCCGUGCCAGCAGCCGCGGUAAUACGGAGGAUGCAAGCGUUAUCCGGAUUCAUUGGGUUUAAAGGGUGCGUAGGCGGGGCGGUAAGUCAGUGGUGAAAGCCUGCAGCUUAACUGUAGAAUUGCCAUUGAUACUGUCGCUCUUGAAUGCGGUUGAGGCAGGCGGAAUGUGUAAUGUAGCGGUGAAAUGCUUAGAUAUUACACAGAACACCGAUUGCGUAGGCAGCUUGCUAAACCGUGAUUGACGCUGAGGCACGAAAGCGUGGGGAGCAAACAGGAUUAGAUACCCUGGUAGUCCACGCUGUAAACGAUGAUCACUCGCUGUUGGCGAUAUACUGUCAGCGGCUAAGCGAAAGCAUUAAGUGAUCCACCUGGGGAGUACGACGGCAACGUUGAAACUCAAAGGAAUUGACGGGGGCCCGCACAAGCGGAGGAACAUGUGGUUUAAUUCGAUGAUACGCGAGGAACCUUACCUGGGCUUAAAUG